GUCUCGAUAGUUUAAAGGCUUAGGAUGUUCGCACGGAAUGCAAGAGAUACGAGUUCGAUUCCCGGUCGAGACA
This 73-nucleotide transfer RNA is filed under the name Atta colombica. It matches the Rfam family "tRNA". Rfam says of the family: Transfer RNA (tRNA) molecules are approximately 80 nucleotides in length. Lineage: Eukaryota; Metazoa; Arthropoda; Insecta; Hymenoptera; Formicidae. The record is from Rfam by way of RNAcentral.